This is a non-coding RNA of Caenorhabditis brenneri, 84 nucleotides long. Lineage: Eukaryota; Metazoa; Nematoda; Chromadorea; Rhabditida; Rhabditidae. The record is from Rfam.
GCCCCGAUGGCCGAGUGGUUAAGGCGUGAGGCGUGGUCGGUCUCAUUGGGUAACCAGUCGCGGGUUCGAAUCCCGCUCGGGGCA